Long non-coding RNA from Bos taurus (domestic cattle), 573 nucleotides. NCBI's taxonomy places the organism in Eukaryota, Metazoa, Chordata, Mammalia, Artiodactyla, Bovidae. The record is from Ensembl.
GAACCGGAGGCGGGGUCAGGGAUGAGGUUAGGGGCUCUACGCUAGCAAGAAAGAUCGGAGCAGGAUCUCCACGCCCGGAGUGGGCAUGUGGGCCGGGCGCUGAGUCGGGGGCCCGGUCAGAGUUGGGUGCUUUGUAUUAGGAUCCAAACAAGGUCCACACAUUGUAUUUGGUUGCCUUGCGUGAAGUAACAGUAGGCUUCGGAUCAUUCGAAAGUAAAGACUGCCCCUUUGCCUGGCUUCCAGCAAAUAACCUCUAAACUCUUGGAGCAUUCAGACUGCUAAAGAAAUCCCAUCUUUCUUAAAUAACUUCAGCUACACCCAAGGCCUGAUGGAGGAGACUGGGCUCCGUGCCCAGGUGGCAACGACGACAUGGAAUUAUCAGCCUCAGGCAGCCCCAGCUGAAGAGAUAAGGAGUAGUUAACGACAGCAUUAAAACAUGCGAAGCCCCGGAGGAGAACCGGGCUUGUCCACCGGAGCCAGACCCGGCUCCUCAGUGUCUGCCAUUACCCCCCCCCCGUCUAGGCUAUCAGGAUGAUUGGUGGGAGGGGGGGCAAGAUGGCGCCGUCCUUCCUC